Molecule: ribosomal RNA, 426 nt
Filed under: uncultured bacterium
Lineage: Bacteria
Description: bacterial SSU rRNA
Rfam family: Bacterial small subunit ribosomal RNA
Source: RNAcentral
GGGGAAUCUUGCGCAAUGGGCGAAAGCCUGACGCAGCGACGCCGCGUGGGUGAUGAAGGCCCUCGGGUUGUAAAGCCCUGUGGGGAGGAACGAACCGUUCGGGGGUGAAUAUCCUCCGGGCUUGACGGUACCUCCUUAGCAAGCAUCGGCUAACUCUGUGCCAGCAGCCGCGGUAAGACAGAGGAUGCGAACGUUGCUCGGAAUUACUGGGCGUAAAGCGCGCGCAGGUUGCCUUGUAAGUCGUGUGUGAAAUCCCUCUGCUCAACGGAGGAAGUGCACGGGAUACUGCAAGGCUGGAGUACAGAAGAGGACAGCGGAAUUCCCGGUGUAGAGGUGAAAUUCGUAGAUAUCGGGAGGAACACCAGUGGCGAAGGCGGCUGUCUGGGCUGAUACUGACACUGAGGCGCGAAAGCGUGGGAAGCAAAC